This 245-nucleotide unclassified non-coding RNA is filed under the name Hevea brasiliensis (rubber tree). The record is from RNAcentral. Lineage: Eukaryota; Viridiplantae; Streptophyta; Magnoliopsida; Malpighiales; Euphorbiaceae.
AGAACUCAUAGAAGACUCGUCUGGGUAAAUUAUCAUUCUUGUCUAAUUCAACCUCUUAAGCUACAUUUAUCAAUUAUCGACAUGGGAUUGGCUGAGUUUAGCUGGAGUCAUAUAUAGCAGAAGCUGGAGAUGAUAAAGAAAAAUGGACAAGAAGUUUCUCAUCUGAGUCUUUUCUAGAAUCAUGCACCUUAUGAUCAAUAAGUACUUCAGGGCUGUAACCAAAAAUGAGGUUGAUAUUGUUGAAA